Non-coding RNA from Rattus norvegicus (Norway rat), 740 nucleotides. The record is from RefSeq and is a predicted model, not a curated record. Lineage: Eukaryota; Metazoa; Chordata; Mammalia; Rodentia; Muridae.
AUGCUUCUAAUUUUCCUGCAAUAUUUAGAAAUUUAACCCAUUUCACCAUGAGGUUUUUUUUUUUUACCUAUUUUUGAAAUUUUUAUAUGUGUAUGUUAGUGCAUGUAUACUAUGGUGAACAUUUGGAGAUCAGAGGCUGGAUUAUGGGAAUGAGUUUCCUGCUUCCGCUUCCGGGGGAUCGGUUUCAGGUCAUCAGGCUUGGCAGCCGGCACUUUCACUUGCAGAGCGAUCUUCCUGGACCCUCAUUUGAUUUAUUUACUUACUUAAUUAAUUCAACUUCCUUGCUAGGGAUAAAUCCAGGAUGGAUUGUUAGGCAAGUACACCAGCGCCGAUGCCCUUCCCAGGGGUACCGUUCCCGGUUUGCAUGACCGUAUCAUCACUCUUAUAGCAUAAAGACAACUUUUAACUCCCUAGUUAUGACCAGGAAAUACGUAGAAGAAUGAAGUAUACGUCAAUGGUGAUAAAAAUGAGGUUGUGAAUGCUUCAGAGAAGAACAGAAGUUAUCAGGCCCUCUAUAGGACUUCACCUACUGCACAUCCCCAUUGCCAAAACUGUCUGUAGCUUCAGUAUGUAGUGAGAAUUCUGAUCCAUCUAGAAGGUAAAAUAUGAGCUGGACACAGAACAUCAUGAUUCAGGAUCAUGAGGUCGUCAUCCAUGAUGGUGUUCAAAUCGCAGUGGUGCAGCUGUUUGGGGAUCUUUUUCUUGGCUUCCCUUAGGUCAUUUCAAUAAAGCCAUUGGCU